This 24-nucleotide unclassified non-coding RNA is filed under the name Mus musculus (house mouse). RNAcentral describes it as "oocyte_clustered_small_RNA2063". Lineage: Eukaryota; Metazoa; Chordata; Mammalia; Rodentia; Muridae. The record is from RNAcentral.
UAUCGCAUUUCUGGUUGUAAAGUA